GCCUAGGUGGCUCAGUGGGUUAAGCGUCUGACUUCAACUCAGGUCAUGGUCUCAUGGGUUUGAGCCCCAUGUCAGGCU
Molecule: transfer RNA, 78 nt
Filed under: Felis catus (domestic cat)
Lineage: Eukaryota; Metazoa; Chordata; Mammalia; Carnivora; Felidae
Rfam family: tRNA
About the family: Transfer RNA (tRNA) molecules are approximately 80 nucleotides in length. Their secondary structure includes four short double-helical elements and three loops (D, anti-codon, and T loops). Further hydrogen bonds mediate the characteristic L-shaped molecular structure. tRNAs have two regions of fundamental functional importance: the anti-codon, which is responsible for specific mRNA codon recognition, and the 3' end, to which the tRNAs corresponding amino acid is attached (by aminoacyl-tRNA synthetases). tRNAs cope with the degeneracy of the genetic code in two manners: having more than one tRNA (with a specific anti-codon) for a particular amino acid; and 'wobble' base-pairing, i.e. permitting non-standard base-pairing at the 3rd anti-codon position.
Source: Rfam by way of RNAcentral